AGAGAGAGAGAGAGAGAGAGAGAGAGACGCAGGGAGAAAGAAGAGGAGAAGGAGAAGAAGAGAAGAAAAGAAGAAGAGAAGAGAAGGGGAUUUGCUUGUGGAUGAUCAUUCUUUCCUAGAAUUGAAGUCCUAACAUGGUAGCGAGUUGGUCAAGUGGGAGGUGUCGAAACCGUAAGUUUGGCAUACUCCAGUCGAAGUGAAGGUAGCAGGUGGCUUAGAGUGGGUCCACUACUGGUCAACGCCUUGGAGAGUGCUGAGACUCGUGUCGGGUGAUGUCUUUGGUUAGAUUGUUGUGUAGCUGAUUCGUCUAGAAGUUAACCUACAUGUUUUGUAAUUAAUUGAAGAGAGGGAUAUUUAUUAUGACUUGUGAGUUGAGUUUUUGGC
Long non-coding RNA from Rhododendron vialii, 384 nucleotides. RefSeq lists it as uncharacterized. The record is from RefSeq and is a predicted model, not a curated record. Lineage: Eukaryota; Viridiplantae; Streptophyta; Magnoliopsida; Ericales; Ericaceae. The transcript has 3 exons.